AGGUGACCUGCGGAAGGAUCAUUAAAGUUAUAGUCCCCUGGCCUUCUGGCUAGGGUCUUCUAUACCACCCUUUGUUUAUUACACCUUUGUUGCUUUGGCAGGCCUGCCCUCGGGCUGCUGGCUCCGGCCGGCGAGCGCCUGCCAGAGGACCUAAACUCUGUUUGUCUAUAAUGUCUGAGUACUAUAUAAUAGUUAAAACUUUCAACAACGGAUCUCUUGGUUCUGGCAUCGAUGAAGAACGCAGCGAAAUGCGAUAAGUAAUGUGAAUUGCAGAAUUCAGCGAAUCAUCGAAUCUUUGAACGCACAUUGCGCUCCCUGGUAUUCCGGGGAGCAUGCCUGUUCGAGCGUCAUUACAACCCUCAAGCUCUGCUUGGUGUUGGGCCCCGCCGCCCCGGCGGGCCCUAAAGUCAGUGGCGGUGCCGUCCGGCUCCGAGCGUAGUAAUUUUUCUCGCUUUGGAGGCCCGGGCGCGUGCUCGCCAUCAACCCCCAAUUUUUUUCAGGUUGACCUCGGAUCAGGUAGGGAUACCCGCUGAACUUAAGCAUAUCAAUAAGCGGAGGAAAAGAAACCAACAGGGAUUACCUCAGUAACGGCGAGUGAAGCGGUAACAGCUCAAAUUUGAAAUCUGGGCUCACGGUCCGAGUUGUAAUUUGUAGAGGAUGCUUCGAGCAUGGUCUGGCCUAGUUCCUUGGAACAGGACGUCAUAGAGGUGAGAAUCUCGUAUGCGGUCAGGUGCCUACGCUCAUGUGAAGCUCCUUCGAC
RNAcentral lists this ribosomal RNA (760 nucleotides) under uncultured fungus. RNAcentral's name for it is "eukaryotic LSU rRNA". The stretch from base 503 to 760 matches the Rfam family "Eukaryotic large subunit ribosomal RNA", at positions 1 to 261 of the family's 3401-position model. Lineage: Eukaryota; Fungi. The record is from RNAcentral.